UACGUAGGGUGCAAGCGUUACUCGGAAUUACUGGGCGUAAAGCGUGCGCAGGCGGUUUUGUAAGUCAGGUGUGAAAUCCCCGGGCUUAACCUGGGAAUGGCAUGUGGGACUGCAAGGCUGGAGUGUGGCAGAGGAGACUGGAAUUCCCGGUGUAGCAGUGAAAUGCGGAGAUAUCGGGAGGAAUACCGAUGGCGAAGGCAGGUCUCUGGGCUGACACUGACGCUCAUGCACGAAAGCGUGGGGAGCAAACAGG
Molecule: ribosomal RNA, 253 nt
Filed under: uncultured bacterium
Lineage: Bacteria
Description: partial 16S ribosomal RNA
Rfam family: Bacterial small subunit ribosomal RNA
Source: RNAcentral